Molecule: ribosomal RNA, 400 nt
Filed under: uncultured Geobacteraceae bacterium
Lineage: Bacteria; Pseudomonadati; Thermodesulfobacteriota; Desulfuromonadia; Geobacterales; Geobacteraceae
Description: bacterial SSU rRNA
Rfam family: Bacterial small subunit ribosomal RNA
Source: RNAcentral
CUCGAAAGGGGUGCUAAUACCGGAUAAGCCCACGGGUUYUUCGGAAUCUGCGGGAAGAGGAGGCCUCUAUUUAUAAGCUUCCGUAUCAUGAUGGGUCCGCGUACCAUUAGCUAGUUGGUGGGGUAAUGGCCUACCAAGGCGACGAUGGUUAGCUGGUCUGAGAGGAUGAUCAGCCACACUGGAACUGAGACACGGUCCAGACUCCUACGGGAGGCAGCAGUGGGGAAUUUUGCGCAAUGGGGGAAACCCUGACGCAGCAACGCCGCGUGAGUGAUGAAGGCUUUCGGGUCGUAAAGCUCUGUCAGAGGGGAAGAAAUGAGAUUGGCUAAUAUCCAAUUUUCUUGACGGUACCCUCAAAGGAAGCACCGGCUAACUCCGUGCCAGCAGCCGCGGKAAUACA